RNAcentral lists this transfer RNA (74 nucleotides) under Camelus bactrianus (Bactrian camel). It matches the Rfam family "tRNA". Rfam says of the family: Transfer RNA (tRNA) molecules are approximately 80 nucleotides in length. Their secondary structure includes four short double-helical elements and three loops (D, anti-codon, and T loops). Lineage: Eukaryota; Metazoa; Chordata; Mammalia; Artiodactyla; Camelidae. The record is from Rfam by way of RNAcentral. RNAcentral also lists the same sequence under 2 other names.
GGUAGUGUAGAGCUCAGUGGUGGAGUAUGUGCUUAGCAUGCAGGAGAUCGUGGGUUCAAUCCCCAGUACUUCCA